This 25-nucleotide unclassified non-coding RNA is filed under the name Mus musculus (house mouse). RNAcentral describes it as "oocyte_clustered_small_RNA4406". Lineage: Eukaryota; Metazoa; Chordata; Mammalia; Rodentia; Muridae. The record is from RNAcentral.
UACUACAACUAUCUUCUACUUAGGG